UCAGGGAACGGUAUUCCCGAGCUUUCUCUGACACCAAGUUUCGAGGACGAAACUUUCUUUUUAGAGGGUAGUAUUGUAAGACUCUAAAAUAAAUAAUUAGAUUAUUGAUUUAUUUUCGACGUAUUAAUUAUUUUUGUGUGUACUAUUCUAUUUUAAUCUUAGGAAUUUCCACUCUUUAAUUAUCUCUUUUUUUAUUGAAGAGAUGACCUGCUCUAACAGGUCACCUUUCCUAAUUCCCUAUGAUAGCCUAUCAUAAAAGAAUAUCCUUUAUUCUUCUCUCAUCCUCAUUACACAUUCAAAUUUCUGAUAACCUUCUCUCUCUUCGUGGUCCCUACCCCACCAAUCAAAAUUGAAUUUACACUCUCUUCCCUCACUCACCCCCAACCGUCCUCAUUCUUUCUCUCUCUCUUUAAUUAGUCAAAUUUGGUUUCUUCUCCACUACUCUUCCUCUCUCCUACGCGGGUCCCACUCCUACCAAUCAGAUAUUAUUUUCUUUUCUUUCUCUCCCUUCAUCCACUCCCUCAACCGCUCUCUCUCUCUUCCACCCUCCUCAUUCACGUUUCUUUUUCUUCCUUCCCACUACAGCUUCUUCUCUUUUUCCUCUGCAACUCACCCACAACACCUUCUUCUUCUUCAAUUUAUUUUUGUUGCAAAACCCAUCACCAUCACCUUCUCUUCUCUUCACCACAGCCCCAGUUACUCCUUCUCCUCCCUUAAGCUGAGCAUCAGCACCAUGUCCUUCUUCUCCUUCCAUGUGCAAACCACCAUGGCAUCACCCAAGCUAGCCACCACCGCCAGCAGCCACGGUGACGCCGCCACCUCCUUCAGCUGCGAGCACCACCACGUCCUCACCACCAUCACGUGACCAUGAACGAGCCACCUUGGUCACCACCACAAAACCCUAGCCGCCACCUUUUUCCUCCGAUCUCCGGCGACCCAUUAAGUUUUUGGAGAAACAAACACCACCAAUGAACUCCCCUCAUCAUCCGCAACAAAACCCCUCCAUCGAUUCGAUGAUCGGCCACCGUGACUCCGGCGACCGCCGUCGCCGCCGUCUUCUCCGGCAAGCUUUGUUCUGAGAAAGGAGGCCAAUUUCUUGAAGCUCUCAACCUCCUCUUCCUGAAUCUAAGGCUCAAUCAUCUUUAAGAGUUUCAAUGGCUACUGGAGGAAGGGGAGAGCCCGACCAGACCAGACCAGAGGAAGAAGUGAAGCUCAGUCCCAUGACCAUGAGACUUGAGGUAGAAGGAGAAAGAAUUGAACACUGUGUUUAGAAAUUAUAUGUUAAUUGAAAAGAUAAGAUUAUUGGUUGUAUGGUUUUUGUCAAUUGUUAGUCUAGGGUUAAUAUAUUUUUCUGAUUUGGAAAAUAGAAAUUGGAUUUUAGUUUUACAAAAUGUAUCAUGGUGCUGCUGUAUUUCUUUUAUAUAUAGGAAGCCUUGUACUUUAGCCCUUUGUGAAUUAAAGUACAAAGGUUAGGUUUUCAGAAUGAAAACUUAGUAGGAUUUACGAA
Long non-coding RNA from Lotus japonicus, 1507 nucleotides. RefSeq lists it as uncharacterized. The transcript is spliced from 2 exons. The record is from RefSeq and is a predicted model, not a curated record. Lineage: Eukaryota; Viridiplantae; Streptophyta; Magnoliopsida; Fabales; Fabaceae.